This 253-nucleotide unclassified non-coding RNA is filed under the name uncultured Anaerolineae bacterium. RNAcentral's name for it is "contains 16S-23S intergenic spacer region". It matches the Rfam family "Bacterial small subunit ribosomal RNA", at positions 524 to 776 of the family's 1533-position model. Lineage: Bacteria; Bacillati; Chloroflexota; Anaerolineae. The record is from RNAcentral.
UACGUAGGUGGCGAACGUUAUCCGGAGUUACUGGGCGUAAAGGGUCCGCAGGCGGAACGCUAAGUCUGGCGUGAAAGCUCCCGGCUUAACUGGGAGAGGACGUCGGAAACUGGCGCUCUUGAAUCUCACAGAGGUCGGUGGAAUUCCCGGUGUAGUGGUGGAAUGCGUAGAGAUCGGGAGGAACCUCGAAAGCGAAGGCAGCCGGCUGGGUGCAGAUUGACGCUGAGGGACGAAAGCGUGGGGAGCGAACAGG